Molecule: long non-coding RNA, 826 nt
Filed under: Phasianus colchicus (ring-necked pheasant)
Lineage: Eukaryota; Metazoa; Chordata; Aves; Galliformes; Phasianidae
Description: lncRNA (ENSPCLG00000017224.1)
Source: RNAcentral
GUUGCUUCCAGAAAUGUUUUAAAGCUCAAGGUAAUUUAGAAGUUGAGAAAUAAGAUAAAUUAAGAUUUUACAUUUUAUUUUCAAGUGGUGUAAAAGGAGAAAGGUGAAGGGCUUUUUUUAAAUUAAGGUAGUGGAUGACAGCUGAAGAAACUGCUGCUUUUGUCUAAAGAUGGCUCUCUUCCUUUACUCAGAAAAGAAGAAUUGUAGCUGUAUGAAAUGGAAAUGAAAUGUGGAUUUCAAAUGCAACUGUGCAAAUUCAUGAAAUGAGAAGUCUAUCUGAAGCUAUUAGGAAAUGACAUUAUGGAACACAGAACCACACUGAGCAAGCUGUUCCAAACACAAAGGGAUUUAUCCUGUGCAUAGGGAAGUGAGAAGUUGGAGGGGCAAAUAAGAUCUCCUAAUUUCCAUGUUUCUUCUGUUUGUUGGAGGGUUUGAGGGGGGAAGCUGUGCACUGGAUAAGGAGAGAAGCAAUAAUCUUUAUUUCCCAGAUCUUGUAGAAAAAACUUUGGUUUAAGAACACCAUCACACUGUUGUUAUUGGGAGCUUUGAAGAUGUGAAUUUAAAAACACAAAAGAAAAUAACUAAAAAACUGGUAAGUAGAAGGAAGAGUGAACAGGAUAGUUAAUGAAAAUAAGAGUUGUACUAAAAUGAAGAUAAGAAAGGCUUAGUGAGCUUUUUCUGUGGAAAAGCAGUUAUUGUGUGGUGGGGAAAAAGGGAAAGAUCAGAGGCACUUUUAAAAAGCCAGAUGCAUUAGUGGAAGAAUGUUAAGAACCAAAGGUUUAAAAAUAAUCAUAAGUCGAGUCGUUGAGAUUUUACUUCUUCAGAG